GUGUUAUAAUUUAUGAAUUGUGUUUAUACAUUAAUGUUAUAGGGCAUUACGAUCAUAUAUGUGUCAACGGGGUCAAAGAGCAAAAAAUCUUGCUCAAUGGAAGAAUGUUAAGUGCCCUCAACAACCGGGAGGUGUUGAGUGUGGAUACUAUGUUAUGAAAUAUAUGCAUGAUUUAUGCACAAAGUAUUCCACAUAUACUUCUUUGGAUAAGGUAUUUCAAGAUCGCACAACGCCAUACUCUAUUGAAGAAAUAGACGAGAUUCGUGAA
This is a long non-coding RNA of Ipomoea nil (Japanese morning glory), 268 nucleotides long. RefSeq lists it as uncharacterized. Lineage: Eukaryota; Viridiplantae; Streptophyta; Magnoliopsida; Solanales; Convolvulaceae. The record is from RefSeq and is a predicted model, not a curated record. The transcript is spliced from 3 exons.